Molecule: long non-coding RNA, 1000 nt
Organism: Dunckerocampus dactyliophorus (ringed pipefish)
Lineage: Eukaryota; Metazoa; Chordata; Actinopteri; Syngnathiformes; Syngnathidae
Exons: 3
Source: RefSeq, a predicted model, not a curated record
GCCCGUUGCCAUUGAGGAGCUCACGUGCAUGUCCUCUUCGUAUAUUCCACCACACUGCAGGAAUAAACUUCUGUUCCAAAGCCAUCUCUGUGUCCCUCCAUCGUGCACCAGAACACAACGCAGUAUAGCUGGGACCUGCGGAUACACUGGCAGCCCGGCUACACAAGCACGCAGGUAUGGAGGGUGACGCCGACGUCCAGUUCCUCCUGUAGGGGGGAGUAUGCAAGUCUGUGAGCCCCGCCAGUCUCUCCUCUCCUCACUCGCAACGCCUCUAACCUUGCAGCCCCGCCUGGUGGACAGGUGUCGUGGAACAGGCAGGAGGCGCAAGAUCCAGCACACUCCACCCAUGCACGUGAUGAGAUGGGAUUGUGUCGAUUGUGCACACAUUGAACAAGAAAGUGUCUCUCACCAGUGUUUAUUCACGUGUGUUUUCAAAUGUUUAUUUUGUGUAAACCCUUAACCACACACUGAACAGAUAAAGGUAAAACGGUUUUCUCCAUUGUGUGUUUUCAAAUAUUGAUUUUGUGCAAAACCAAAAUCAGACACUGAACAUGUAAAAGGUUUCUUCUUUCUUCUAGAAAGUCAAAAUUACCCAAGUCUUGACAGCUUUUUUCACAUCCUGCUGCUGUUCUUACCAGCACACUUGUGAUUGUUAAGCUGGUACUUAUAAGAGAAUCCUUUAGCACACACACUGCAACUCAACACUUUUUCACCAGUGUGUAUUCUCAUGUGUGUUUUCAAACAAUGAUUAUGUCCAAAACCCUUACUACACACUGAACAAGUAAAAGGUUUCUCACCAGCGUGUAUUCUCAUGUGUUUUUUAAAAUUUCGAUUAUGUCCAAAAGCCUUACCACACACUGAACAGGUAAAAGGUUUCUCACCAGUGUGUGUUCUCAUGUGUGCUUUCACACUAUAACUGUCUCUAAAGUCUUUACGACACACUGAACAAGUAAAAGGUUUCUCACCAGUGUGUUUUCUUGUGUGUAUUGUCAAUUGAUCC